GGAAGAUGGACAGAGCCUUGUAGCUCUGUGCUACUUAAACACUUAGUGGGAGAAUGCCACAAUGAAUUGGAUCCUUUGACCGUGCCUCUUUUUAACCCACUUUGCCAAAGGCAAAGCCUCUUUUUCAUCAGUAUAGCACCUUCAAUGUGUAGGAUAUGAGUCCUGUCAUGAAUUCAUACUUGAAGAGCUGUAUAUUGGCCCAUAUACAUUUGUGCUCUCAGUCAGAAGAGUAAUCAGGAAAAUGCAUUUGUUGCACUAGAAAAAUGAGGACAUCAGAAACACCAGCA
Molecule: long non-coding RNA, 287 nt
Organism: Mauremys mutica (yellowpond turtle)
Lineage: Eukaryota; Metazoa; Chordata; Testudines; Geoemydidae
Exons: 3
Source: RefSeq, a predicted model, not a curated record